This 440-nucleotide ribosomal RNA is filed under the name uncultured bacterium. RNAcentral's name for it is "partial 16S ribosomal RNA". It matches the Rfam family "Bacterial small subunit ribosomal RNA", at positions 338 to 795 of the family's 1533-position model. The record is from RNAcentral.
CCUACGGGAGGCAGCAGUGGGGGAUAUUGCACAAUGGGCGGAACCCUGAUGCAGCGACGCCGCGUGGGUGAAGGAGUGCUUCGGCAUGUAAAGCCCUAUCGGUAAGGAAGAAAAUGACAGUACCUGACCAAGAAGCCCCGGCUAACUUCGUGCCAGCAGCCGCGGUAAUACGUAGGGGGCCAGCGUUAUCCGGAUUUACUGGGUGUAAAGGGAGCGUAGACGGUUAUGUAAGUCAGGAGUGAAAGUCUGGGGCCCAACCCCGGGACUGCAAUGGAAACUGUGUAACUGGAGUACAGGAGGGGCAGGCGGAAUUCGUGGUGUAGCGGUGAAAUGCGUAGAUAUCAGGAGGAACACCGGCGGCGAAGGCAGCCUGCUGGACUGAAACUGACGUUGAGGCUCGAAAGCGUGGGGAGCAAACAGGAUUAGAUACCCGAGUAGUC